This 513-nucleotide long non-coding RNA is filed under the name Lathyrus oleraceus (garden pea). Its description in RNAcentral is "Pisum sativum (pea) long non-coding RNA (PSAT_LNC000389)". Lineage: Eukaryota; Viridiplantae; Streptophyta; Magnoliopsida; Fabales; Fabaceae. The record is from RNAcentral.
UGAUGUCUGUCCGCAUCAUUGUUUGAUGUCUGUCCGCAUCAUUGUUUGAUGUCUGUCCGCAUCAUUGUUUGAUGUCAUGUCAACAUCAUUGUUCGGUGCCUGUAAACAUCGAGUUUCCUCCCGGUCAUUGGUUAAUGUCUGGUCGAGCUUUUUUUGGUGUCAGUAAACAUCAUCGUCCGAUGUUCAGUAAACGUCGAGUUUCUUCCCAGUCAUCAGUCAGUGUCUGGUUGAAGGUGUACCCUCUGACGUGUUGCCCUUAGAGUGGUGAUUAGUGAAGUUUCCGACUAUCAGGUUGAAGCACUUAUGGUAUUCAGGCCAGUUUUUCGGAGUUCAGACCGAAGUGGUUUUCGGACCAGGUAGAAGAAGAGAAAAUUUUCGGGGUUCAAGAAAAGCAAAAAAAGAAUGAGAAUCCCGAGUGGAUGUGGUGUUCAGGCCAUGGUUAUCCCUGAGUUACCAUUUAUUUUGGCAUCCAGGUCGUCGGUUUUUCGAGUUUUUCUUCGCCGAUGCUGACAG